UUAACUCAAAUUUGUAUGGAGUUGGAACGUUUGCCUACGUUGGCCGCUAGGGGCGCUUAUUCAACUGCAUAUAACGUUUACGCAA
RNAcentral lists this microRNA precursor (85 nucleotides) under Bombyx mori (domestic silkworm). RNAcentral describes it as "mir-2807 microRNA precursor family". It matches the Rfam family "mir-2807 microRNA precursor family". The record is from Rfam by way of RNAcentral. Lineage: Eukaryota; Metazoa; Arthropoda; Insecta; Lepidoptera; Bombycidae.